RNAcentral lists this ribosomal RNA (468 nucleotides) under uncultured bacterium. RNAcentral describes it as "partial 16S ribosomal RNA". It matches the Rfam family "Bacterial small subunit ribosomal RNA", at positions 28 to 507 of the family's 1533-position model. The record is from RNAcentral.
GACGAACGCUGGCGGCGUGCUUAACACAUGCAAGUCGAACGGUGAAGCUCCAGCUUGCUGGAGUGGAUCAGUGGCGAACGGGUGAGUAACACGUGAGCAACCUGCCCCUGACUCUGGAAUAAGCGCUGGAAACGGCGUCUAAUACUGGAUACGAGAAGGGCCCGCAUGGGCACUUUCUGGAAAGUUUUUCGGUUGGGGAUGGGCUCGCGGCCUAUCAGCUUGCUGGUGAGGUAAUGGCUCACCAAGGCGACGACGGGUAGCCGGCCUGAGAGGGCGACCGGCCACACUGGGACUGAGACACGGCCCAGACUCCUACGGGAGGCGGCAGUGGGGAAUAUUGCACAAUGGGCGAAAGCCUGAUGCAGCGACGCCGCGUGAGGGAUGACGGCCUUCGGGUUGUAAACCUCUUUCAGCAGGGAAGAAGCGAAAGUGACGGUACCUGCAGAAGAAGCACCGGCUAACUACGUG